This 1877-nucleotide long non-coding RNA is filed under the name Equus caballus (horse). RNAcentral's name for it is "lncRNA (ENSECAG00000052424.1)". The record is from RNAcentral. Lineage: Eukaryota; Metazoa; Chordata; Mammalia; Perissodactyla; Equidae.
AGUGUCGAGACGGAGCUUGAGAGCGGCCCCGGGCCUCCAUCCUGUGCUGGUGCAAUCGCUGCCCCCCGUUAUUGUUUACAGCGCCAGGUCAACAUUUUUUAUCAGUUUUCUGAGAUCUUUGCCUCAGAGGUAAUGUGCCCUAGGACAUAAAUGUUUAGAAGAAAAAAAAAACCUAGAUAAUUCUGGAAAGUGUUCUGAAGUUUACCAUUUAUUUUUCUGUUAUUUACUUUUGUUUUCAGGAGCACAGGCUAUCACUCACGGCCCCUCCUGGAGACUCUAGGACUUGAGGCGUUUGGCCCCAUUCUCCUGUUUGUUUCUUUUCCUCUUGCAGGAUUUCAGUCACGAUUUCUUAGACGUCCACUUAAUGAACACUUCUCAACUCUUCUGCUAAGUAUUCCCCUGCCCUCUGCCCUCUGCCCCCUGCCCCCUGCCCCGAGAGUGACAUGGGUUUAAAAUGAAAACUAAGACAGAGUUUUGAGUGACCCUAGGAAGCACCGGGCCUGGGGCAGAUCUGUGGUUCCCUGCCCUGCCCUUACCCCAUCCACAGGUCUUUCUAUUUAAGUCAAACUUCAUAUAAAUGACUAUCAAAAAUAUCCUUGAAGGGAAAAAGCAAACUUCUGGAAGGUCAGCCUGGGAGUUGUGUGUGGAUAGGACAGGGAUGACAUCAGAGAUUUUUGCCUUGGAAAUAGAGAAGGAGGGAACAGCUCCACGAACCAACGAUGUAUGUGAAUUAGACUCAAGAAAACGGAAAUAAUUAAAUGCACCGCUAGGCAGAGCCGCCGGUGUUCUGCCAUCCUUCUCACCCACUAAAGCCCUGAGUGACUGACUCUUCGAGCCCCUCCCCAGAUGUGCAGUGGUCGCCCAUGUCACCUGAGCUGAGGGAGGACCACCACGUUCUUCACUUAUGUCAGAGGGGAUGCCUGUCACCUCCCGAUCUCAUCCAAAAGCACUGCGGCCUCUGCUGUUUUACAGUCUUUCCAAAGAUGUUUAGCCUGAAUCUUACUGUGAGCGACAGACUCAAACGACUCCUGAUGGAGGGGCAGGGAUGUUUGCAUGUGUUCGUGCACAAAAGUGCAAAAUGUGAAGACAUUCACCGAGUCUAGUAAACAUUACCAGGAUUAUAUUACUUUUUCAAUUUUUCUGUAGGUUCAACAUUUUUCACAAAUCACAAGGUGCACCUCUGACAUGAUGCUCAGUCUGUUGUGUUCAGCAGUCCACGGAUUAACCAUGAUAUUCAAAAAUUUUUCACGCAUUGAUACUUGACACAGGAAAUAAAACAGAUUAUUAAACCAGUUUUUAGCAAAUUUGGAGGUUCUUUAUGAAAAACUAAAUUCCUUUUAACAGGAAACAGUCCCUCAAAGGAAAAUAAUACUGUGUCCAAGACAUCAACUUCCUCACGAAGAGAAUUCAGAGAAAGUUCUUCCAACCAUGAUGACAAGUCCUGUCCAAACUCCCUCAUGGAGACGCGAAGAGUCCUCGCAGUCAACCGAGCCAGAGCAGGCGGAGCACAAGGCGGCAGGUUUUCAGCGGGAAGCCCCCUCUCCACAUAUGGGAGGUGCUCAGGAAUAAUUUUAUGAACUGCAUUACUGAGGAAGCUCCUGAGACUCAGAGAAGUUGAGUGAUCCGCUGAGGGUCCCAUGUUUGAUACGUGAUCAAGCUGAGGUUCAAAUCCAGACGUCAACCUCAGACCCCACACCCACGAUCAUUCCAGCCACCACCUCCAAGUUCUACAUACAAGUGGCAACCAGCAGCCCAGGACAGGAAAGUGAGUCAAGACACUUGUGCGCAAGCCACAAACAACAUGACAAAGAGCAGAAGGAGGAGGUAUAACUUCCACGUUCUCCAUUUGUGUUCCAGACAGAAAACUCAAAUAUGGG